GGGGAAUCUUGCGCAAUGGGAGCAAGCCUGACCGAGCGACGCCGCGUGGAGGAUGAAGGCCUUCGGGUUGUAAACUCCUGUCGAGGGGGAGGAAGGGGUAAAACCUUGACCGAUCCCUGGAGGAAGCACGGGCUAAGUUCGUGCCAGCAGCCGCGGUAAGACGAACCGUGCGAACGUUAUUCGGAAUCACUGGGCUUAAAGCGCGUGUAGGCGGAUGGGGACGUCGGUGACUGAAAGCCCCCGGCUCAACCGGGGAAGCGGCGCCGAAACGCCCCGUCUGGAGGGACGUAGGGGGACCUGGAACUUCCGGUGGAGCGGUGAAAUGCGUUGAGAUCGGAAGGAACGCCCGUGGCGAAAGCGAGGUCCUGGACGUCUGCUGACGCUGAGACGCGAAAGCUAGGGGAGCGAAC
RNAcentral lists this ribosomal RNA (410 nucleotides) under uncultured bacterium. Its description in RNAcentral is "bacterial SSU rRNA". It matches the Rfam family "Bacterial small subunit ribosomal RNA", at positions 356 to 773 of the family's 1533-position model. The record is from RNAcentral.